GAUCAUGGCUCAGGAUGAACGCUAGCUACAGGCUUAACACAUGCAAGUCGAGGGGAAACGACAUCGAAAGCUUGCUUUUGGUGGGCGUCGACCGGCGCACGGGUGAGUAACGCGUAUCCAACCUGCCCAUCACUUGGGAAUAACCUUGCGAAAGUAAGACUAAUGCCCAAUGAUAUCCCACGAAGGCAUCCGAAUGGGGAUUAAAGAUUUAUCGGUGAUGGAUGGGGAUGCGUCUGAUUAG
RNAcentral lists this ribosomal RNA (241 nucleotides) under uncultured bacterium. RNAcentral's name for it is "partial 16S ribosomal RNA". It matches the Rfam family "Bacterial small subunit ribosomal RNA", at positions 15 to 244 of the family's 1533-position model. The record is from RNAcentral.